UAUAUAGAAGAUAGUGUGCAUUAUGAUGGAACCUUCAUGCGUAUAUACAUAUAAUCAUUUACUGAGAUAUAUAUGUUCUGAUGAGCAUUGAGCUAAGUAUACUCAACAUGAAUAUAACCUGGCAGGCUAAUUAAUAUAAAUUCGGUGUUCUCACAAUGUUGCAUUGGAGCUAUAUGUAUAGUUGCUAAUAAUUAAUCCACCAAUGUGGAAAUGAGGAUCCUGAGCUGGCAUACAAUUAAUCUAUCUUUUUUUUUCUACUUCGUGUAGUACACUAGUAAAAGUAGGCAGUGCUAGCUGGGAGUACUCCUCUUUCACAGGUCUUGUGUUUGUUUCGGGGUCGGGAUAGAACCAAUUCAUGUGUCAUAUGGCAGGUAAUGGUGAAUUUUUCUAGGAAGAGGAGACAAGCAAUGGCGUGGUUUCAUAUAUGUAUAUAACAGAUGUCACAGGUUUACUGUUCACGAUUAUGUCUGAAUUGCCAGAAGUGCAUGAUCAGUACAUGCCUGUAAGAUUUGUCUCGUCAUGACCUAUUUAUAGCUGUCAUAGAAAAAAAAACUACAAGACAACGAAGGUACGUAUGUUUGUACUGCAUAUUGUUAACAAGUUAAUCAAGUUUACUUUUAGGCGUUAUGGGGUACAGCUGUAGCUUCUUGUUGGUCUAGCAUUGAUCAACCAUUCUUAGCGGUAGUCGGUUUGUUACUAUACUAGCCCUUUUCUCAGUAGUGUGGGAAGGCGUCAGUGCGUAGUGGAGGUGUUUUUUUUUUCUUUUCUGGACUAUAACCUCCUAGUUGUAGUUCUGUAAUUUUUUUUUCUUGUUACAUCCAAUGAAACUUCAUAUUGUCUAAGUGUCGGUUCAUUGGAAGAAAACAUCAUCAAGUAUACUUUUAUGUUGUGAAAUAGGAGUAGCAAAACUGAGGAAAAUGUUCCUAUCAGUACAAAUAAGACUUCAAAGAUAUAG
RNAcentral lists this small RNA (955 nucleotides) under Oryza sativa Japonica Group (Japanese rice). Its description in RNAcentral is "sRNA Os02g0649000". Lineage: Eukaryota; Viridiplantae; Streptophyta; Magnoliopsida; Poales; Poaceae. The record is from RNAcentral.